Molecule: ribosomal RNA, 250 nt
Filed under: uncultured prokaryote
Description: partial 16S ribosomal RNA
Rfam family: Bacterial small subunit ribosomal RNA
Source: RNAcentral
UACGUAGGGAGCGAGCGUUAUCCGGAUUUAUUGGGUGUAAAGCGUGUGUAGGCGGUUUUUUAAGUCCAAGGUUUAAUCCCGGAGCUUAACUCCGGUCCGCCUUGGAAACUGGAUCACUCGAGUGUGGUAGAGGCAAAUGGAACUUCUAGUGUAGCGGUAGAAUGCGUAGAUAUUAGAAGGAACACCAGUGGCGAAGGCGAUUUGCUGGGCCAUUACUGACGCUGAGACACGAAAGCGUGGGGAGCAAAUA